GCCCCCGUGGCCUAAUUGGCUAAGGCGUAAGACUUCUAUCGUGUCUCCAACAAAGGUUGACUCUGGUGAUAUCUUAAGAUUGCGAGUUCGAGUCUCGCCGGGGGCU
Molecule: non-coding RNA, 106 nt
Organism: Coniochaeta pulveracea
Lineage: Eukaryota; Fungi; Ascomycota; Sordariomycetes; Coniochaetales; Coniochaetaceae
Source: the annotation of a GenBank genome assembly